AUAGCUUGUCAGCCUUUUGGCUAAGAUCAAGUGUAGUAUCUGUUCUUAUCAGUUAAAUAUCUGAUACAACCUCUAUCCAAAAUUUC
Molecule: small nuclear RNA, 86 nt
Filed under: Loxodonta africana (African savanna elephant)
Lineage: Eukaryota; Metazoa; Chordata; Mammalia; Proboscidea; Elephantidae
Description: U2 spliceosomal RNA (ENSLAFG00000024446.1)
Rfam family: U2 spliceosomal RNA
About the family: U2 is a small nuclear RNA (snRNA) component of the spliceosome (involved in pre-mRNA splicing). Complementary binding between U2 snRNA (in an area lying towards the 5' end but 3' to hairpin I) and the branchpoint sequence (BPS) of the intron results the bulging out of an unpaired adenosine, on the BPS, which initiates a nucleophilic attack at the intronic 5' splice site, thus starting the first of two transesterification reactions that mediate splicing.
Source: RNAcentral